Molecule: ribosomal RNA, 425 nt
Filed under: uncultured bacterium
Lineage: Bacteria
Description: partial 16S ribosomal RNA
Rfam family: Bacterial small subunit ribosomal RNA
Source: RNAcentral
GUGGGGAAUAUUGCACAAUGGGGGAAACCCUGAUGCAGCGACGCCGCGUGAGUGAAGAAGUAUUUCGGUACGUAAAGCUCUAUCAGCAAGGAAGAAAAUGACGGUACUUGACUAAGAAGCCCCGGCUAACUACGUGCCAGCAGCCGCGGUAAUACGUAGGGGGCAAGCGUUAUCCGGAUUUACUGGGUGUAAAGGGAGCGUAGACGGUAUGGUAAGUCAGAUGUGAAAGCCCGGGGCUCAACCCCGGGACUGCAUUUGAAACUAUCAGACUAGAGUGCAGGAGAGGUAAGUGGAAUUCCUAGUGUAGCGGUGAAAUGAGUAAAUAUUAGGAGGAACACCAGUGGCGAAGGCGGCUUCCUAGCCUAAGACUGACGCUGAUGCACGAAAGCGUGGGGAGCAAAUAGGAUUAGAUACCCGUGUAGUCC